AUGAUCUCUGACUGUGACAAACACACAGUAACAGCCUGUGUCUACAGUCUUCAUCAGUUUCAUGAGCAUCUUUUCUUCUCAAGACAGAGGUGUGUGUCUGACACUCAUCAGACCAUCAUCUCAUACAGGAAGAUGCCUGUCAGUCAUUUCUGUGGCUUAGAGAAUGAAACUGCCCCAAGAAUAUUUCACGGAGGAUCUUUAUAUACACAUUUUCAGAAAGAGUAAUAGUUUUUACACUUUUAAAAUUUAACAUACCUAACUAGAUGCUAAAUCAUUAAUCAAUAUCAAAUAAUCAGUAUGUUGACAGGUGAAAACAAUAAGGAAAAUAUCUGAAAGUGUAAAAAUAGUGAAUGGAAGGUGGUCUAUUGCAAAGAACUAAUGGUCAUACUUUAAAAGAAGGUUACAUUUGUAAACAUUAUUCACAUAUAUUAGUUAACAUGAACAAACAAUGUAAAAUAUUUGGUCACACUUUAUUUUAGGGUCCAAUUCUCACUAUUAACUAACCAUUAACUAUGACUUUUGCCUCAAUUAACUCCUUAUUUGCUGCUUAUUAAUAGUGUAUUAGGUAGUUGUUAAGUUUAGGGUAUUGGGUAGGAUUAUGGAUGUCAUGCAUUAUAUGUACUUUAUAAGCACUAAUAAACAGCCAAUAUGUUAAUAAUAGACAUGCUAAUAAGCAACAAGUUAUUAGUGUGAACUGGACCCUAUACUAAAGUGUUACCAAAUAUUUCUAAAGCAUCUAUCAAUGGCUAGAAUACAGGUUGACACUACAGAUAGUUGUCAAAAGUUAGAGCCAGUCUUCAGAUUUGAGUCAACAGAUUUCAAACCCUCAACAUCAACUAUAUCAACAAUAACUUCAGAGAAUAUGUCCUUGAUAAUUGGACAUCUGUCAUUGUGUUGGACAUCUGGAUGAAGAUCUUUAUUUUUCCUUCACCUCAUGAGUCAGUGAAAUCUUAAAAAAAAAAAAAAAAAAAUGGUGUUUGUCGCAAUAUGAAAAUAUGUAUGUACAGUCAGCAGGUCAUUAUUUCAUAAUAACCCAUAACUGUACUAAUGUACACACAUUACACAAACACUUGCCAAAUAAAUGUGGACGUGAAACAUUAAUCUGAGUUAAAAUUAUUUCAUGAUCUAAUUUGUAGAUUGGAUUAAAGCUUGAACAGAUUUCAGAUUGUGAACUAUUCUUAUUAAUUUACAAUGAGUGUGAAGUGCUCUUGGCCUUGAGAAACAUUGAGCUGUGUGUGGUUAGUUAUUCCGGCCACAGUGUCAUGCUUCCUGCUUUACUCUUCCUCUAGUAAAAAAAUAACUGCUGCAUAAUUUAAAAUGAGUUAAAGAGCCAGUAAGAUGAAAAUUCUAAGCUUCCUAUCACUGUUUAUAAGUCCUGUACGAUAGGUUUAAAUCCAUCCAAGGUUAAAAAACAUUGUCAUUUUGUCAAAAUAUCAUUUUAAAAUUAACUCAAACUGUUCAAAAGAUUCAGUUUCCUUAAACCCCACCUUUCGGUAGCAUACUGUGUUCUGAUUGGUCAACUAACAUAGUCAGUUUUGAUUGGUUGUUCCGCACACAACUUCACGGUAAACAAUGCGUUAGCAUCUGUUUGGGGUGAAUUAUGUCUUAUUCCUCUCAUCGCGAAGCAAACAGUAAAAUAAAAAACUUGAACAGUCUCGCUGCUUUUUCUUCUGUGUGUGUGUAUUCAAGCCGCGCGCUUCAGUUUGAAUCUGAAUAGCGCGUUCAGCACGGGGGCGUGGUCACAUUAGAUAUAAUGAAGGGAGACGUGGAAGAUUGGACAUCACGUUGUUUUCAUAUGGAUUACUUUAUCACAGAAUAUCUGUUAGCAGCACUUGUUACAAUUCAUUUUAAUUGACGUGUUUGUACAUGACGAUCAGCGCAGAGAAAGGCUGCAGACAGCACACAUACUGAUAAGACGUUCGGGAGAAAACAAACACAUAACUUCAUAAUCAUACUUGGCGUUGUGAUUCGGAGAUGCUUGUUGGUCUAAAUAAAGUUGGUAAUGAACCCUCUUUUAUGGCCAAACGCUUUGAAAAUCCAGCCUUGUACUCACUGAGAUUAGAAAAGCAGUCAUCAGUGAAAUGUUGUGAACACAACAAAAGGGAUUUGUUGUACUUCUCUGUUAUUGUGGUAAAAAUGAAUUUUAGCCAUUGGUUCUUCUGAUCUUCAUUCUUUGGCAGUUAAAAUAAAACAAACUUGCCUUUACAAUUAAAAACACACUGUCUCCUCGACUUGAUGCUAUCACACCAACCAGAGCGUCUGUGUGUGUGUGUGUGGGGGGGGGGGGGGGGGGGGCGGAGAUUAUUAUGCAAAGUGUUCCUAGUGACGUACAUAGAGAUGGGCAAAAGAUUUGAAAUCUAUAACGACUCGUUUCAGAGAUUCAGAGUCGACUCCUUACUUUAGAAGCCAAUAACUUUAUAAAUCGUGUACUUUUUGGUUUAAUUACUUUGCACAUUGUUUACACUGAUGGAUAGCUACAUCAUACACUGUAAUACAGGUAAUUUUUGAUUUCCCAUCUGUGUGGCUCUUUAAAUGUUAUAAUUUUACAGACUGCAAGAUUUCAGACACAAGGGUUGAAAAAACAUGUUCCUCAUUUAGAGAAGAAAGUAAAUCAAUUGAAAACACUGAAAAAAAGAAAUCUGAACAUUUGUUAAAUAGCAGGGAAACACACAGAGAAGAUCCAUCAUAAAUUCUGACAACAGAGAAAACAAAAGUUGAAACAUUGUAAUUAAACAGACUAAACAGAGUUUUUAGCUUUGCAAAAUUAUUUACACUUACAGUUUUUUCUGAAUGCUUAAGCGAUAAUCGUGAUUCUUGUAGCACAAUUUCUAAAACUAUUAAUACGUAUAGCAAAACCACUCUCUGAGUUUGCAAAACUAAAAGCACAAACACUGCUUUGCACUCAGUUUGCAAUUUUGUAACACACACUUUGCAAAACUGUAGGCACAAUUCACUGCACAACACUCUUUUUUCAGAACUUUAAACACAACUCACUGCUUACACUCAAUUACCAAAUUUCCAACACACUCCUAGCAAAAUUAUACACAUGUAUGGCUAUCAUUAACACUAUUUUGCCAACUGUCUGGCACAUUUUCACAUGUAAAAACUGUUUUAGAUAAUUAGUUCACUUUGCAAUCAGCCUGAGCACUAUAAAUAAGCCACAGGUAAGCUGUCUGUGUGGAGUACAAUGGAAGGAGCAGUAAGAGUGAGAAGAGUGAGAAUCAGAGGAGGCAGAGGAGGCUGAGUGAGAGGACGUGGAGGUGAACAAGCGAGAGGGUUAGAGGAAGUUAGAGGACAAGGAGGAGCAAGAAGAGGACGAUGACGGGAAAGAGGAAGUGUAAGAAGAGUAAGAAAUAGAAUAACUGAUGACAUCAGAGCUACAAUAGUGGACCGUGUCAUAAACCAUGGGAUGACCCUGAGGGAAGCUGGCCAACAGGUUCAGCCUAAUUUGAGCCGCUACACUGUGGCAAGCUUCAUUAGGACAUUUCGAAAUAUUAAUCGGUAAGUACUUUGUAGCACUGCCAUACUCUAAUGAGAAACACAACAGUACCAUACAUGCAAAAAUACUGAAUUGUUACUUUUUUCAGAAUUGCUAGACGUCCAG
This is a long non-coding RNA of Carassius auratus (goldfish), 3604 nucleotides long. The record is from Ensembl. NCBI's taxonomy places the organism in Eukaryota, Metazoa, Chordata, Actinopteri, Cypriniformes, Cyprinidae.